GGGCCUGUAGCUCAGUCCGGUUAGAGCGCUCGACUCAUAAUCGAGUGGCCAUGAGUUCGAAUCUCAUCAGGCCCA
This 75-nucleotide transfer RNA is filed under the name Candidatus Altarchaeota archaeon. Its description in RNAcentral is "tRNA-Ile". It matches the Rfam family "tRNA". Rfam says of the family: Transfer RNA (tRNA) molecules are approximately 80 nucleotides in length. Their secondary structure includes four short double-helical elements and three loops (D, anti-codon, and T loops). Lineage: Archaea; Nanobdellati; Candidatus Altarchaeota. The record is from RNAcentral.